Molecule: ribosomal RNA, 407 nt
Filed under: uncultured prokaryote
Also listed under: 1 other name
Description: bacterial SSU rRNA
Rfam family: Bacterial small subunit ribosomal RNA
Source: RNAcentral
UGGGGAAUAUUGGGCAAUGGGCGAAAGCCUGACCCAGCAACGCCGCGUGAUUGAAGAAGGUCUUCGGAUUGUAAAGAUCUGUCCUAUGGGACGAAAAAAAUGACGGUACCAUAGGAGGAAGCCCCGGCUAACUACGUGCCAGCAGCCGCGGUAAUACGUAGGGGGCUAGCGUUGUCCGGAAUUACUGGGCGUAAAGGGUGCGUAGGCGGCACUUUAAGUUAGAUGUGAAAUAUCCGGGCUUAACCUGGAGGGUGCAUCUAAUACUGGAGUGCUUGAGUGCAGGAGAGGAAAGUGGAAUUCCUAGUGUAGCGGUGAAAUGCGUAGAUAUUAGGAGGAACACCAGUGGCGAAGGCGACUUUCUGGACUGUAACUGACGCUGAGGCACGAAAGCGUGGGGAGCAAACAGG